Ornithorhynchus anatinus (platypus) is the source of this 351-nucleotide long non-coding RNA. RefSeq lists it as uncharacterized. The record is from RefSeq and is a predicted model, not a curated record. NCBI's taxonomy places the organism in Eukaryota, Metazoa, Chordata, Mammalia, Monotremata, Ornithorhynchidae. The transcript is spliced from 3 exons.
UCAAUGGGGGCAAGUGUCACUGCCCCUUUAAAGCCCCAGAGGCAGGUGGGCUUCUUUCUCUUCUAUGUAGGACCCAUGGGUGCUCCUUCCUGUAGGCUGUGGAGAAGAAAUGGAGUCUUUUCCUCUGGGGGUGUGGUGAGCAGGCUGCCCCCCUGCCAAAAUGCAGUCUCUCCAUUGGGUGCCCUUCAAUGAGGCAAGUAGCCCUUUAAAGCCCCAGAGGCUUCUGUCCCUCUCCCUACCCCAUGUAGGGCUUGUGGGCACUACUACCUAUAGGCUGUGGAGAGAAGAUGAAGUAUCCCUCUCCGGAGAUUUGAUGAAUGAGCUGAGGCCCAGUCAAGUGAUUUGCCCAAG